This 349-nucleotide ribosomal RNA is filed under the name uncultured bacterium. Its description in RNAcentral is "bacterial SSU rRNA". It matches the Rfam family "Bacterial small subunit ribosomal RNA", at positions 917 to 1264 of the family's 1533-position model. The record is from RNAcentral.
GGGCCCGCACAAGCGGUGGAGUAUGUGGUUUAAUUCGAUGCAACGCGAAGAACCUUACCAGGGUUUGACAUCCUGCGAAUCUCUUGGAAACAGGAGAGUGCCUUCGGGAACGCAGUGACAGGUGGUGCAUGGCUGUCGUCAGCUCGUGUCGUGAGAUGUUGGGUUAAGUCCCGCAACGAGCGCAACCCACGUCUUUAGUUGCCAGCAUUUAGUUGGGCACUCUAGAGAGACCGCCGGUGACAAACCGGAGGAAGGUGUGGAUGACGUCAAGGUCAUCAUGCCCCUUACGUCCUGGGCCACACACGUGCUACAAUGGUGGGGACAACAGGUUGCCCAACCCCGCGAGGGU